Talpa occidentalis (Iberian mole) is the source of this 1783-nucleotide long non-coding RNA. RefSeq lists it as uncharacterized. Lineage: Eukaryota; Metazoa; Chordata; Mammalia; Eulipotyphla; Talpidae. The record is from RefSeq and is a predicted model, not a curated record. The transcript is spliced from 3 exons.
UUGGAAAAUUCAGCCUGGAUUUCUUCAGAGUCUUCACUGCCUGGAGGUCAUUUGGGAACUCCCUGGUUUCUUCUGAGAGGAUUUGAGUUCUGACAGGAUAACUUUCCUGCAUGAAAAUGAAGCUGAUUUGGUGCUGGACAAACUCCGUCAAAGAACAGCAUUCAUAUCUGGUUGUACAUUUUAUUGGCUCAAAUCCAACCUUGAGUAAUCUGGCAUAUGCUACCUUGUUUCCUGAUGAGAAGAGGAUAGAACUGCAGAAUCCAUACUCCCUGCCUGGAUGCUGUGGAAUCUAAGUUGUCAUAUGUAAAGAGAGACAGAGAUUGGGGACAUCAAAGACAAGAGACUGGGAAAAUCCAAGAUUGAGGACUGUUUUAGCCUCAAUCUGCUGGAAGAUGGCCAACUUCUAUCUGCCAUAAACUUAUAAAGAAACAGAUUUCCAAACAUCAGAAACUCUACUUUACACACUAACUUCUGCUAAAAGAUGCCUGAGGUCCACAAUGAUCCAUCUUCAAGCAGGCAUGGUGUUGAGAGCAGAGGUGACACUUGAAUCAUGUUGAGAUGGCAUUAUGACAAAGGGACCCAGAAAUGCAUGCCUCCCAUUUUAUAAUCAUCACUUUCAUUGUGGGACUACAGGAGGGAUCUCACAUGUCAGAGACAAAGUAAAUGCGGAUCAAAACUACUCCCAGCCUGUUAGUAAUGGUGUCCCCCAGCUAGAUUGGAGGAGGGGUUCCUCUCUGCUAAUUUCCUAUCUGACCAUCAGGUAGAUAGCUUUGGAGAGAGAAAUCCCUUGCAUACUUUGGUGAGGAGGAGAUGAGAAGACAGGGAGGAAAUUCAAAGCAUGACUCAAGACAACAACAUCAGCAUCACCUGAAAGUUUGUAAGAGAUGCAGAAUCUGGGGCUCCAGCCAAUACCUACCCAAUCAAAACCACUAUUUAGAACAAGAUCUUCAUGUGAUUUGCUACGCAUUCAUGUUAGAGGAGCCUUCUCUCAUUGGCAUGUCUGUGCCAUCAUACACAACGAUCCUGCUCUCUAAUCAGGGGACUUUCUACCCCAAGUCUGAUCAAUUGGUUACUACUCUAUUAUUUGGAGGAACAGAGACUGGAGGAGCUGAGACUGCCUGCCAACUGCUUGUGUAAAAUGCUAGUUUUCAAUUUCUCUACUGUUGGAUUUUCUCUCCAUAUUUGUUUGUGAGAGACUCCUGACAAAAUAGCACAGACUGGGUUGCUGGCACCAUGAAUGCUGACUUUUUCAAAGUCCUGGAAGCUCAAGAUAAGGGUUUUGUAUGGCAAAUUUAUGCUGCGGGAUCUCUUCCUAGCUUGCAGGUGACCACCUUCUUAGAGACCCUUUUCAUAAAGGCACUAACUCCAUCACAAAGACUCCACCCUCAAGACUUUGUCUAGUCAUAUAGUUACCUCCAAAACACCCCAUCUCCUAAUUACCGUCAUGUUCAGGAUUAGAACUUGAACAUAUGAAUUUGAGGGACCACCAUUCAGUCCACAGCAGUACUCAUGUGCAGUGUGACUUUAGAAGAUGCAACAUUGCCCAAACUUUUUAAGUUACAGAACCCUGUUUUGAGAGUUCACACAUGGUGUGAUUAAUGUUUCAGAACAUGGUAUGGGAAGCUCUCCUCCAUGAGGAGUUGUUCUUGUUGAAGCGUGUGGAAUAAAGUCCCUCCUCAGCAUCCAUCCUGAUAGGAGAUGGAGUUUAAUGGUUUGCAGCUCGAAUUUUCGAAGGUUAAGCCAUCCACAGGGAAGUGACAUCUCAUAUGUGAGGGUUAGGAAG